Molecule: ribosomal RNA, 427 nt
Filed under: uncultured bacterium
Lineage: Bacteria
Description: partial 16S ribosomal RNA
Rfam family: Bacterial small subunit ribosomal RNA
Source: RNAcentral
UGGGGAAUAUUGCACAAUGGGCGCAAGCCUGAUGCAGCCAUGCCGCGUAUAUGAAGAAGGCCUUCGGGUUGUAAAGUACUUUCAGCGGGGAGGAAGGCGAUAAGGUUAAUAACCUUGUCGAUUGACGUUACCCGCAGAAGAAGCACCGGCUAACUCCGUGCCAGCAGCCGCGGUAAUACGGAGGGUGCAAGCGUUAAUCGGAAUUACUGGGCGUAAAGCGCACGCAGGCGGUCAGUCAAGUCGGAUGUGAAAUCCCCGGGCUCAACCUGGGAACUGCAUUCGAAACUGGCAGGCUAGAGUCUUGUAGAGGGGGGUAGAAUUCCAGGUGUAGCGGUGAAAUGCGUAGAGAUCUGGAGGAAUACCGGUGGCGAAGGCGGCCCCCUGGACAAAGACUGACGCUCAGGUGCGAAAGCGUGGGGAGCAAACA